UGGGGAAUAUUGCACAAUGGGCGCAAGUCUGAUGCAGCCAUGCCGCGUGUGUGAAGAAGGCCUCGGGUUGUAAGGCACUUUCAGCGAGGAGGAAGGUGGUGAACUUAAUACGUUCAUCAAUUGACGUUACUCGCAGAAGAAGCACCGGCUAACUCCGUGCCAGCAGCCGCGGUAAUACGGAGGGUGCAAGCGUUAAUCGGAAUUACUGGGCGUAAAGCGCACGCAGGCGGUUUGUUAAGUCAGAUGUGAAAUCCCCGGGCUCAACCUGGGAACUGCAUUUGAAACUGGCAAGCUAGAGUCUCGUAGAGGGGGGCUAGAAUUCCAGGUGUAGCGGUGAAAUGCGUAGAGAUCUGGAGGAAUACCGGUGGCGAAGGCGGCCCCCCUGGACGAAGACUGACGCUCAGGU
Molecule: ribosomal RNA, 406 nt
Filed under: uncultured bacterium
Lineage: Bacteria
Description: partial 16S ribosomal RNA
Rfam family: Bacterial small subunit ribosomal RNA
Source: RNAcentral